This 1001-nucleotide long non-coding RNA is filed under the name Brassica rapa (field mustard). RNAcentral describes it as "long non-coding RNA (BRAP_LNC007153)". Lineage: Eukaryota; Viridiplantae; Streptophyta; Magnoliopsida; Brassicales; Brassicaceae. The record is from RNAcentral.
GUACCCAUUGGCGUUCGGAUCGGGUUUUUCAGAUUUUGAUUCUUUUUUAUAACACCUCCUAGGUCCCAUUCUAGUAAAUUUGCAAGUACGGAUCAGGUUCGUAUAUGUCACAUCGUGCUCGGAUCGGUUUUGUAUCACAUCAUAGAACCCAUAAAGUAACCAUAUAUAAUUCAGAUUCGGGUUAUAUCGGAUCAGUUCGGAUAUACCCAAAAUAAAAUCUAAAAUUUAAAAGCAAAACAUAAAUAUAUACCUAUGUAUAUAUAAUUACGUAUUAAAAGUAGUUAUUUAAAUUUUAAAUACUUAUUGUUAGAUAUCAUAUCAAAAUAAAUAUGAAAUUGAAUAUUUGGAGUAUUUAUUCAUGUUUCAUAUAAUUAUAUUGUAUAUUAGUUUGGACAUUCGGAAUGGUUUCUUCGGAUAUCUUUUUGGAUUUUUUGAUUUUUUUUGGUUUUUCGGAUUACCCGUUCGGGUUUGGUUAAUAACACUUUGGGUUUGGAUAUGUUUUGUACCACCUUAUAAGAUCCAUUCGGAUAUUUUUUACAUUUCAGACCGGGUACGGAUGGGUUUUUCGGUUCGGGUUCAGUUCGGAUUUUGAAUUAUAGAUUUUAUGCCCAUGCCUAGUUAGGGUUUAGCCGGCGGCGUUAGCGUCAUUAAAAUUGACGUUAUUUUCCAGAUUUUUUAUUUUAAUUUGAUAUUUUUUUAUUUAUGGCAUUUUGAUUGGAUAUUAAAAUUGUGGUGAAUUUAAAGGUUUACCUAGGGGUGGACCUAAUUACUUCUUUUUUUUUUUUUAUGGAGCUAGCCAACAUUUGGCUAAUAAUCAACAAAGAAAACAACAUUAAUGUUAAAAUAUCCUCAAAAUCUUCAUAUCUAUUUUCAUAAACCUCGAAACCGAGUGCUCAUAAAUCCCAAAAAAUCAAAAAAAUUUCUUUUAAAUUUAUUGAUAAGAAUUAUAUAUCACUCAAUUUUCUUUAGAAAAAAUGAACAUUGUUUAACCAUUAUAUUAU